UAAGCUAGUAAGAUCCCUGAAAGAUGAUCAGGUUGAUAGGUUCGAGGUGGAAGCAUGGUGACAUGUGGAGCUGACGAAUACUAAUAGAUCGAGGACUUAACCAUAUAA
RNAcentral lists this ribosomal RNA (108 nucleotides) under Bacillus cereus. Its description in RNAcentral is "partial 23S ribosomal RNA". It matches the Rfam family "Bacterial large subunit ribosomal RNA", at positions 2821 to 2925 of the family's 2925-position model. The record is from RNAcentral. RNAcentral also lists the same sequence under 2 other names. Lineage: Bacteria; Bacillati; Bacillota; Bacilli; Caryophanales; Bacillaceae.